GCCGAAGUGGUGAAAUGGCAGACACACAGCCUUGAGGUGGCUGCGGGAGAAAUCCUGUGGGGGUUCGAGUCCCUCCUUCGGCACCA
RNAcentral lists this transfer RNA (86 nucleotides) under bacterium. RNAcentral's name for it is "tRNA-Leu". It matches the Rfam family "tRNA". Rfam says of the family: Transfer RNA (tRNA) molecules are approximately 80 nucleotides in length. Their secondary structure includes four short double-helical elements and three loops (D, anti-codon, and T loops). The record is from RNAcentral.